GACGAACGCUGGCGGCGUGCUUAACACAUGCAAGUCGAACGGAAAGGCCCUGCUUUUGUGGUGUGCUCGAGUGGCGAACGGGUGAGUAACACGUGAGUAACCUGCCCUUGACUUUGGGAUAACUUCAGGAAACUGGGGCUAAUACCGGAUAGGAGCUCCUGUUGCAUGGUGGGGGUUGGAACGUUUCGGCGGUUGGGGAUGGACUCGCGGCUUAUCAGCUUGUUGGUGGGGUAGUGGCUUACCCAGGCUUUGACGGGUAGCUGGCCUGGGAGGGUGACCGGCGACAUUGGGACUGAGGUACGGCCCAGGCGCGUACGGGGGGAAACGGGGGGAAAGAUUGCCCAAGGGGCGAGAGCCGGAUGAAGAAACGCCGCGGGUGGGAUGACCGCCUUGGGGUUAAAAACCGCUUUCGCCUGAGACCAAGCGUGAGUGACGGUAAUGAAAAAAGAAGCACCGGCUAACUACGUG
Molecule: ribosomal RNA, 468 nt
Filed under: uncultured bacterium
Lineage: Bacteria
Description: partial 16S ribosomal RNA
Rfam family: Bacterial small subunit ribosomal RNA
Source: RNAcentral